UUUUUUACAUCCUAUGCACUUUCUCAUCCGAUCUGAGGUCUCAUUGUAAGAAAGAGGAUCUGGAAGACUUUUAAACAAUUGCACUCGUUCUUUUCAGUCGAGGCCAACCAAGGACAAAGGGAAAAAUGAUCCCACAUCUUUUGCCUGGCGGUGCAUAGUUUGUUAAGUCCUAUUGAACGAUAUAUCUUAAAGAUGUUUUAUAUCUACAAAGUCAAAUGGGG
Non-coding RNA from Pelobates cultripes (western spadefoot toad), 221 nucleotides. The record is from the annotation of a GenBank genome assembly. Lineage: Eukaryota; Metazoa; Chordata; Amphibia; Anura; Pelobatidae.